RNAcentral lists this ribosomal RNA (384 nucleotides) under Micromonas sp. RNAcentral describes it as "partial small subunit ribosomal RNA". It matches the Rfam family "Eukaryotic small subunit ribosomal RNA", at positions 582 to 975 of the family's 1831-position model. The record is from RNAcentral. Lineage: Eukaryota; Viridiplantae; Chlorophyta; Mamiellophyceae; Mamiellales; Mamiellaceae.
AUUCCAGCUCCAAUAGCGUAUAUUUAAGUUGUUGCAGUUAAAAAGCUCGUAGUUGGAUUUCGGUUGAGAGCGGCCGGUCCGCCGUUUGGUGUGCACUGGCUGGUUUCAGCUUCCUGCAGAGGACGCGCUCUGGGCUUAAUCGUCUGGACGUGGAGUCUGCGUGGUUACUUUGAAAAAAUUAGAGUGUUCAAAGCGGGCUUACGCUUGAAUAUUUCAGCAUGGAAUAACACUAUAGGACUCCUGUCCCAUUUCGUUGGUCUCGGGACGGGAGUAAUGAUUAAGAGGAACAGUUGGGGGCAUUCGUAUUUCAAUGUCAGAGGUGAAAUUCUUGGAUUUUUGAAAGACGAACUUCUGCGAAAGCAUUUGCCAAGGAUGUUUUCAUCA